This is a non-coding RNA of Ictidomys tridecemlineatus (thirteen-lined ground squirrel), 1453 nucleotides long. The record is from RefSeq and is a predicted model, not a curated record. NCBI's taxonomy places the organism in Eukaryota, Metazoa, Chordata, Mammalia, Rodentia, Sciuridae.
CCAAAUCUCUUCUGUUACUCCUGGCUAUUUGGGAAAAGAAGGGCCCAUGUCAGUGGCUAAAGGGAUGCCCCCUGUUGGGCCAUGUGUGCAUGUAUCUGUAGAUAUGUGUAUGUGACCAUGCUCUUCAUCAUCCCUGAGCAAACAUUGCCUUUUCAAAUCAGAGCAUGCCUGAAAGUAAAAGGUUUGUGGAGAGCUGGGAUCUCUAGGGACUCUGGUUGCCGUAGCAACCUUCCAGACUGUUCUCUCAGUCUUCUGAUUCGGGCAUCAAGGGAGAACAGACUACAUAUCCCCCAGCUUCUCAAAUGGGAGCACCUUCUACUAUUGGUUUAGGGGUAGGUCGAGCCAGGACAGGGACACAGGACCUUGGAAAAUGUGGAGGCAACUAAACUUCUUGAACUUCCUCCUUGGAUUCUUCCUGGUUUCCCUGACCCAGUCCUUGAAGCUGCCUCACCUUACCCCUGAGUCUUCAGAAACUUGAAUGCUUAGCAGCUGCCCCAUUAAACCAACAUCAAUGUUCUGCUUUUAAAAAUGACCAGGAGAGCCCUCGGAAUGGACAAUGUGUUCCUCCAGAAGCAGCCAGGCUGGGCUUUGCUGAGAACAGUCCUAGCCUUAGGUGUCAUGGAGUUCUCAUCUCUUGAGACAGAGGAUCUUCCCGGCUCUAAGAGAGACUGAGGGAAAAAUGAAGUCCCUUCUUCUAGGGGAGCAGUCGAGCUCCUGGGAGGGAUCUCACAGUUCUUCUUGAGACAUGGAAGAAAAACCGAGAGACUGUGGCCCCACCUAGUUUCUGUGAAGGAUUUUGUCCAAUGGCCCCUCUCUGACUCUGAGCCUCUUUAUGUGGAUGUCGUGACCUGAGCAUCAGGAGAAUACGCACUGUGUGUGGCUGGCCCAGCUGGGAUGGGGACUCCCAGCUGCCAGGAAAGGUGGACUCUUUAUACCAAGCCAUCUUUAUACCUGACUGGAGCUGGCAGGGGCUCCCAGAGGACUUCCUGGGACUGUCAGCCUCAGCCUGGACUGAGGGAUGCGUCCCUGAAGAGUGAGGACGGACAGCUGGCUGCCUUUGUACCUGAGGGAAACUGUGGGUACGGUGGUCCUGGAAAGGAGACUGAUGCAUACAUUUGUGGUAGUGGCUGGUCAGAGAAGACCUGAACCCUCAGCUUCCCUGGAAGACGAGACCCUUCCUUGGAUGACCCUGCCUGAGGGCCCUCUGGAGGCCUUGCACAAGCAGCAACCAGGACAGAAAACCUUGAGAUGGGACCCCCUGGAGUCAAAGAUGGGGCCCAGAAGGUUGGGGUGAGGCUGUGAGGAGGAGGGUGAAAGCUGGUGGUGUGGUCCAAAGAGACAAGGUAUGAGGAGGACUGGAGAUUCCAGAAAGUGCAUGGCAGAGCCGCAGACCCACCCAGGAGCAGGUGGCUGUGGAAAAGUAACAAAUAAAUAAACGGCAGAGUCUCCCGAG